Molecule: small nucleolar RNA, 63 nt
Filed under: Propithecus coquereli (Coquerel's sifaka)
Lineage: Eukaryota; Metazoa; Chordata; Mammalia; Primates; Indriidae
Source: RNAcentral
UUGUAAUGAUGUUGAUCAAACAUUUGACCUGAAAUUAUCUUAAAUUUCUCCUGAGCUGAAAGG